GGUUUUGUGGUCUAGUUGGUUAUGUCAUCUGCUUAACACGCAGAACGUCCCCAGUUCGAUCCUGGGCAAAAUCA
RNAcentral lists this transfer RNA (74 nucleotides) under Zygosaccharomyces bailii CLIB 213. Its description in RNAcentral is "tRNA-Val (AAC) (tRNA-Val-AAC-1-1)". Lineage: Eukaryota; Fungi; Ascomycota; Saccharomycetes; Saccharomycetales; Saccharomycetaceae. The record is from RNAcentral.